RNAcentral lists this ribosomal RNA (253 nucleotides) under uncultured bacterium. RNAcentral's name for it is "partial 16S ribosomal RNA". It matches the Rfam family "Bacterial small subunit ribosomal RNA", at positions 524 to 776 of the family's 1533-position model. The record is from RNAcentral.
UACGGAGGGUGCGAGCGUUGUCCGGAAUCACUGGGCGUAAAGGGCGCGUAGGUGGCCGAGCAAGGUCGCGGUGAAAGCCCGGGGCUCAACCCCGGGUCGGCCGUGGCAACUACUGGGCUGGAGCACUGUAGGGGCGGGUGGAAUUCCGGGUGUAGCGGUGGAAUGCGUAGAGAUCCGGAAGAACACCGGUGGCGAAGGCGGUCUGCUGGGCAGUAGCUGACGCUGAGGCGCGACAGCGUGGGGAGCAAACAGG